Long non-coding RNA from Spinacia oleracea (spinach), 1048 nucleotides. RefSeq lists it as uncharacterized. Lineage: Eukaryota; Viridiplantae; Streptophyta; Magnoliopsida; Caryophyllales; Amaranthaceae. The record is from RefSeq and is a predicted model, not a curated record. The transcript has 5 exons.
UACUCCCUUCCCCUUUUUCCUAAUUCACGUGAAACUAGAGGAAAGAAAAAAAAGAGAGAACUCUUUCCCCUAUUCACGUAACUGCUCCUCCUCAACAAUCCCCUCCUUGCUGCCGCCGCUCACACCGCCGGACCCUCCUGCACGUCACCGGAAUCUUGUCGACGCCGCAACCUGAUUCGCGCAGCCACCGCCAAGUCGCGCCACCGUGUGCCGCCGUGCCCAGCCCCUGCCGCGAGCCACCUCUGUCCGCCGGCUCUCUCUCUCCUCCUUCUCGAAUUGGCGGAGAAUUCUCUUUAGGCGACUUUUGAAAGUGUUAAAGUGGUCUAUCAGUUUGUUUACACAAGUCUCUAAGGAUCAAUAAGCGUUGUCCAUCUACAGGUUUGAAGAUGAUGCAUCAUUGGGAUCGGGAUUAGAGAGCUUGUAGUUAUAUUUGUUUUAUUAAGUGAUUUGGGUUGUUAACUUGGAUUUGAAAGUUGUCGUACUAUUCGUAUUUCCUUAUUUCCGUUAAUUGGUUUUGGACUUAAUAUGUAAUCGAUUAUUUAUGAACCUAAAAGUUAGUUUUAUGUUUUCCGCUGCAAAAUUCUGAAUAAGCCGUUACGUUUUCACACGGGCGAUAAUACUUUGACAAUUCUCUAUAGUUAUAUUUAUAAAAGGGUUGUUUUAGAAAAAGAGAAUUGUCGGGGUGUUACAAAGUGGUAUCUAGAAGCUAAGGUUUUACUUAGCUAAUAUAUCAACAUUUUGAAGCUAAGGUGUUACAAAGUGUUACAGUUGACAUGCUGACCCACUUGGAGUUUGAGGAGCCUGUUUCUUCGAGUGAGGGCUCAUUGGUGAAGGUCGUAAAUGCGACAUGUGAAUCAAGCACCGCUGCUUGUCCAUCUGAUGUAGUUGUUGCUACCUGAUCUAUCUCCAUGGAACUCAAAUGUCAACGGCUCAAUUUAGUUUUACAUUGAUAUAUGUGAAUAGAAGAGUGGUUAAACUAUUGCUUUUUGUUGAUUGCACAUUGUAAUACUUUUUGAGUUGAUAUAUAAUUUUUGUCUCAUUUUUAUUA